RNAcentral lists this ribosomal RNA (503 nucleotides) under Salmonella enterica. Its description in RNAcentral is "partial 23S ribosomal RNA". It matches the Rfam family "Bacterial large subunit ribosomal RNA", at positions 966 to 1472 of the family's 2925-position model. The record is from RNAcentral. Lineage: Bacteria; Pseudomonadati; Pseudomonadota; Gammaproteobacteria; Enterobacterales; Enterobacteriaceae.
AGAAUGUUAUCACGGGAGACACACGGCGGGUGCUAACGUCCGUCGUGAAGAGGGAAACAACCCAGACCGCCAGCUAAGGUCCCAAAGUCAUGGUUAAGUGGGAAACGAUGUGGGAAGGCCCAGACAGCCAGGAUGUUGGCUUAGAAGCAGCCAUCAUUUAAAGAAAGCGUAAUAGCUCACUGGUCGAGUCGGCCUGCGCGGAAGAUGUAACGGGGCUAAACCAUGCACCGAAGCUGCGGCAGCGACGCUGAUGCGUUGUUGGGUAGGGGAGCGUUCUGUAAGCCUGUGAAGGUGUGUCGUGAGGCAUGCUGGAGGUAUCAGAAGUGCGAAUGCUGACAUAAGUAACGAUAAAGCGGGUGAAAAGCCCGCUCGCCGGAAGACCAAGGGUUCCUGUCCAACGUUAAUCGGGGCAGGGUGAGUCGACCCCUAAGGCGAGGCCGAAAGGCGUAGUCGAUGGGAAACGGGUUAAUAUUCCCGUACUUGGUGUUACUGCGAAGGGGGGA